UGGGGAAUCUUCCGCAAUGGACGAAAGUCUGACGGAGCAACGCCGCGUGAGUGAAGACGGCCUUCGGGUUGUAAAGCUCUGUGAUCCGGGACGAAAGAGCCUGAGGUGAAUAGCCUAAGGAAGUGACGGUACCGGAAAAGCAAGCCACGGCUAACUACGUGCCAGCAGCCGCGGUAAUACGUAGGUGGCAAGCGUUGUCCGGAAUUAUUGGGCGUAAAGCGCGCGCAGGCGGCUUCCUAAGUCCAUCUUAAAAGUGCGGGGCUUAACCCCGUGAUGGGAUGGAAACUGGGAGGCUGGAGUAUCGGAGAGGAAAGUGGAAUUCCUAGUGUAGCGGUGAAAUGCGUAGAGAUUAGGAAGAACACCGGUGGCGAAGGCGACUUUCUGGACGAAAACUGACGCUGAGGCGCGAAAGCGUGGGGAGCAAACAGG
This 429-nucleotide ribosomal RNA is filed under the name Fusobacteriota bacterium. RNAcentral describes it as "Fusobacteria bacterium partial 16S ribosomal RNA". It matches the Rfam family "Bacterial small subunit ribosomal RNA", at positions 355 to 776 of the family's 1533-position model. Lineage: Bacteria; Fusobacteriati; Fusobacteriota. The record is from RNAcentral.